GGACCGUGUAUAAGUCUCUUGGAACAGAGCGUCAUAGAGGGUGAGAAUCCCGUCUUUGACACGGACUACCAGUGCUUUGUGAUGCGCUCUCAAAGAGUCGAGUUGUUUGGGAAUGCAGCUCAAAAUGGGUGGUAAAUUCCAUCUAAAGCUAAAUAUUGGCGAGAGACCGAUAGCGAACAAGUACCGUGAGGGAAAGAUGAAAAGCACUUUGGAAAGAGAGUUAAACAGUACGUGAAAUUGCUGAAAGGGAAACGCUUGAAGUCAGUCGCGUUGGCCGGAACUCAGCCUUGCUUUUGCUUGGUGCACUUUCCGGUUAACGGGCCAGCAUCGAUUUUGACCGUCGGAUAAGGGUCAGGGAAAUGUGGCACCUUUUGGUGUGUUAUAGUCUCUGGUCGCAUACGUCGGUUGGGAUCGAGGAUCGCAGCGCGCCGCAAGGCAGGGGUUUAUCCCACUUUCGCGCUUAGGAUGCUGGCAUAAUGGCUUUAAACGACCCGUCUUGAAACACGGACCAAGGAGUCUAACAAACCUGCGAGUGUUUGGGUGGUAAACCCGAGCGCGUAAUGAAAGUGAAAGUUGAGACCUCUGUCGUGGAGGGCAUCGACGCCCGGACCUGACGUUCUCUGACGGAUCCGCGGUAGAGCAUGUUUGUUGGGACCCGAAAGAUGGUGAACUAUGCCUGAAUAGGGUGAAGCCAGAGGAAACUCUGGUG
RNAcentral lists this ribosomal RNA (709 nucleotides) under Neofomitella fumosipora. Its description in RNAcentral is "partial 28S ribosomal RNA". It matches the Rfam family "Eukaryotic large subunit ribosomal RNA", at positions 172 to 869 of the family's 3401-position model. The record is from RNAcentral. Lineage: Eukaryota; Fungi; Basidiomycota; Agaricomycetes; Polyporales; Polyporaceae.